CAGGAGGGCAGCUCCCCAGCCCCUGCUGCUUUAGAAGCUGGAGGUCUGGGGGUUAUGCUGUCUGCCUGUGUUUUCCCUGGUGUGCAGACAAGCGGGAGCUGGGCUGUGCGCUGGGGCUCGGUGCCCACCUGUCCUGUAUGUGACGAGUGGUGCAGCGUGUGCUGCUUGACAAGCCUUGGCUGGCAGAAGGGCCCUAAGGUGCAGGGCUGGCGUCCCCUGGGUCGGUGAGGAAAGUGCAUGGAAAUAUCCUCUGCUGCAGCCAGAGCCUGUGCUAUGUCAGCUCUGAUGGCACUGGGAUGUGCAGAUUUGCUUCGUAAUUGUGCUCUGUGCAUGCUGGUUGCGCACAGAUGUGCUUGAGGAAAGGCCCCCAGAUCCACAAACCUGCCCACAGGUGGUGAGCAGGGCUGUCCUGAGGGAGGGGUGGAUGGAUGGAUGGACGGACAGACCCCCGGAGAAAGGAAGCAGCAGGUGGAGGGAAGGUAGGCAUAAGGAACCAAAGCCAGAGGAAGAAGUUGAGCAGAAGAUCUUCAAAAAAAAGUGGAAGAGGAGUUCUGCUCCCCACGGACGUUCACAGUGCCUUCUGAUUCAGAUGCUAGGCAGAACUGGCAUUUCU
Molecule: long non-coding RNA, 613 nt
Filed under: Anser brachyrhynchus (Pink-footed goose)
Lineage: Eukaryota; Metazoa; Chordata; Aves; Anseriformes; Anatidae
Description: lncRNA (ENSABRG00000022952.1)
Source: RNAcentral